CAAUAGCGUAUAUUAAAGUUGUUGCAGUUAAAAAGCUCGUAGUUGGAUUUCUGGACGGAGCGACCGGUCCGCCGCUGUGCGGUGUGUACUCGUGUUUGACUCGGUUCAUCCUUGUGGGAAAGCGUUUUCGGCAUUCAGUUGUCGUGGCGGGGAACCACAUCUUUUACUGUGAAAAAAUUAGAGUGUUUAAAGCAGGCAUUUUGCUGUGAAUACAUUAGCAUGGAAUAAUAACAUAGGACUCUGUUCUAUUUUGUUGGUUGGAGAUCAGGGUAAUGAUUAAUAGGGACAGUUGGGGGUAUUCAUAUUUAAUUGUCAGAGGUGAAAUUCUUGGAUUUAUGAAAGAUGAACUCAUGCGAAAGCAUUUACCAAGGAUGUUUUCAUUAA
This 384-nucleotide ribosomal RNA is filed under the name uncultured eukaryote. Its description in RNAcentral is "partial 18S ribosomal RNA". It matches the Rfam family "Eukaryotic small subunit ribosomal RNA", at positions 592 to 976 of the family's 1831-position model. The record is from RNAcentral.